CCUACGGUGGGCAGCAGUGGGGAAUAUUGGACAAUGGGCGAAAGCCUGAUCCAGCCAUGCCGCGUGUGUGAAGAAGGCCUUCGGGUUGUAAAGCACUUUCAGUGGGGAAGAAAGCCUUGGGGCUAAUACCCUCGAGGAAGGACAUCACCCACAGAAGAAGCACCGGCUAACUCCGUGCCAGCAGCCGCGGUAAUACGGAGGGUGCGAGCGUUAAUCGGAAUUACUGGGCGUAAAGCGCGCGUAGGCGGUCUGAUAAGCCGGUUGUGAAAGCCCCGGGCUCAACCUGGGAACGGCAUCCGGAACUGUCAGGCUAGAGUGCAGGAGAGGAAGGUAGAAUUCCCGGUGUAGCGGUGAAAUGCGUAGAGAUCGGGAGGAAUACCAGUGGCGAAGGCGGUCUUCUGGACUGACACUGACGCUGAGGUGCGAAAGCGUGGGUAGCAAACAGGAUUAGAUACCCUGGUAGUC
This 465-nucleotide ribosomal RNA is filed under the name Vreelandella stevensii. RNAcentral's name for it is "partial 16S ribosomal RNA". It matches the Rfam family "Bacterial small subunit ribosomal RNA", at positions 338 to 795 of the family's 1533-position model. The record is from RNAcentral. Lineage: Bacteria; Pseudomonadati; Pseudomonadota; Gammaproteobacteria; Oceanospirillales; Halomonadaceae.